UCUGAAUCUGCGUACGGCUCCGCAAACCAGUUGUAAACUAUAGCAAGCAAUCCUGCGGGUGGCUUCGGCUGCUCGUGGGUAACAUGGAUAACCCUGGUAAUUCUGAGGCUAAUACAAGAACGUACUCCCUGGCUGACCGGCAACGGAAGGCUGGGGAGCGUGCAACGUAUCGUAGGGAUAAACCGGGAAUGGGUGCACGCUUGGACCGCGCUAAAGACAGAUCUCGGCGAGCCUUCGGGUGAGCCUUGGCCUGAGCGGCUCUUGCUGUGUGCUUCUGACCUAUCAACUAGACGGCAGCGUAAGGGACAUGCUA
RNAcentral lists this ribosomal RNA (313 nucleotides) under Polyschismium chailletii. RNAcentral describes it as "bacterial SSU rRNA". It matches the Rfam family "Eukaryotic small subunit ribosomal RNA", at positions 80 to 346 of the family's 1831-position model. Lineage: Eukaryota; Evosea; Eumycetozoa; Physariida; Didymiaceae. The record is from RNAcentral.